This 533-nucleotide ribosomal RNA is filed under the name uncultured bacterium. RNAcentral's name for it is "bacterial SSU rRNA". It matches the Rfam family "Bacterial small subunit ribosomal RNA", at positions 976 to 1509 of the family's 1533-position model. The record is from RNAcentral.
UGGCCUUGACAUACUAAGAACUUUCCAGAGAUGGAUUGGUGCCUUCGGGAACUUAGAUACAGGUGCUGCAUGGCUGUCGUCAGCUCGUGUCGUGAGAUGUUGGGUUAAGUCCGCAACGAGCGCAACCCUUUUCCUUAUUUGCCAGCGGGUCAUGCCGGGAACUUUAAGGAUACUGCCAGUGACAAACUGGAGGAAGGCGGGGACGACGUCAAGUCAUCAUGGCCCUUACGGCCAGGGCUACACACGUGCUACAAUGGUCGGUACAAAGGGUUGCUACCUCGCGAGAGGAUGCUAAUCUCAAAAAGCCGAUCGUAGUCCGGAUCGCAGUCCGCAACUCGACUGCGUGAAGUCGGAAUCGCUAGUAAUCGCGGAUCAGAAUGCCGCGGUGAAUACGUUCCCGGGCCUUGUACACACCGCCCGUCACACCAUGGGAGUUUGUUGCACCAGAAGUAGGUAGUCUAACCGCAAGGAGGACGCUUACCACGGUGUGGCCGAUGACUGGGGUGAAGUCGUAACAAGGUAGGCGUAGAUGA